CAGAGAAUAGUUUAUAUAAAAUAUUAGUUUUGGGAAUUAAAGAUAAAAGAAUUUUUUUUCUCUGA
RNAcentral lists this transfer RNA (65 nucleotides) under Gandalfus puia. Its description in RNAcentral is "tRNA-Pro". Lineage: Eukaryota; Metazoa; Arthropoda; Malacostraca; Decapoda; Bythograeidae. The record is from RNAcentral.